This 253-nucleotide ribosomal RNA is filed under the name uncultured bacterium. RNAcentral describes it as "partial 16S ribosomal RNA". It matches the Rfam family "Bacterial small subunit ribosomal RNA", at positions 524 to 776 of the family's 1533-position model. The record is from RNAcentral.
UACGUAGGGUGCGAGCGUUGUCCGGAAUUAUUGGGCGUAAAGGGCUCGUAGGCGGUCUGUCGCGUCGGGAGUGAAAACUCAGGGCUUAACCCUGAGCCUGCUUCCGAUACGGGCAGACUAGAGGUAUGCAGGGGAGAACGGAAUUCCUGGUGUAGCGGUGGAAUGCGCAGAUAUCAGGAGGAACACCGGUGGCGAAGGCGGUUCUCUGGGCAUUACCUGACGCUGAGAAGCGAAAGCAUGGGGAGCGAACAGG